AUUGAACGCUGGCGGCAGGCCCAACACAUGCAAGUCGAGCGGAUGAAGGGAGCUUGCUCCUGGAUUCAGCGGCGGACGGGUGAGUAAUGCCUAGGAAUCUGCCUGGUAGUGGGGGAUAACGUCCGGAAACGGGCGCUAAUACCGCAUACGUCCUGAGGGAGAAAGUGGGGGAUCUUCGGACCUCACGCUAUCAGAUGAGCCUAGGUCGGAUUAGCUAGUUGGUGGGGUAAAGGCCUACCAAGGCGACGAUCCGUAACUGGUCUGAGAGGAUGAUCAGUCAUAAGGAAACGGGAACACGUUCCGGACUCUGGCGGGAGCGAGCAGUGGGGAAUUUUGAACAAGGGGGGAAAGCUUAAACGAGCCUUGCCGGGUGGGUGAAAAAGGUCUUCGGAUUGUAAAGCACUUUAAUUGGGGAGAAAGGGGAGUAGUUUAAUCCCUUGUUGUUUUGACGUAACAAAAAGAAAAAGCCCCGGCAAUCUUCGUC
Molecule: ribosomal RNA, 484 nt
Filed under: uncultured bacterium
Lineage: Bacteria
Description: partial 16S ribosomal RNA
Rfam family: Bacterial small subunit ribosomal RNA
Source: RNAcentral